AGCCCGGGCCGCGGCGCGCCCCGGCCCGGCCCGGCCCAGCCCAGCCCAGUCCCGGCACCGGGCGGCCCGGCGGCCGGCCCGCCCCCGAGGGCGCCGGGCGCGGCGGGAGGAUGCCGAAGCCGACGCUGCUGCUGCGCGGGGGCUGGGAGCGCGAGCGCAGCCCCGGGGACUCGGAGCUGGGCCGCCAGUUCCGGGACUGGUGCCUGCGCACCUACGGCGACUCGGCCAAAACCAAGACGGUGACACGCAGCAAAUACCAGCGGAUCGCCGAGGUCCUGCAGGGCGGCGGCGGGACCGGCGCGGGCAGCGGCCCGGCGGCCGGCGAGAAAGGCAAGUUCCAGUUCUGGGUGCGCUCCAAGGGCUUCCGCCUGGGCAGCGGCCGGGAACCCAAGAUGGGCCAAGUGGUGUAUGUGCCGGUCAAGACGGGCUCGGGGGCAGAUGGCCUGUCGGAGCCGGAGGGCAUCUCUCUGAAGCGGGUCGCUGUGGUGGAAGAUUUCUUUGACAUCAUCUACUCGAUGCAUGUGGAGAGCUCAGCGGAGCCAGGCAAAGCCCCCAAGCACGCUGGGCAGAAGAAAACCUACCGAGCGAUUGCAGAGACCUAUGCCUUCCUUCCGCGAGAAGCCGUGACUCGAUUCCUGAUGAGCUGCACAGAGUGUCAGAAGAGGAUGCACUUUAAUUCCAAUGGCCUGGAGCCCAAAGAAAACGAACCUCCCUCUCCUCUGGUCUCCGGGAUUAUCGAUUACAACAUGCCCCUUACCUCCACGUACCUGAAGCAGAUGAAGUUGCGAGUGAUGAACUCCCAGGAACAGGAUGAAACUUCUGUGAGCAGUGAAGAUUUUGAUAUGAACGACUCCACAUGGAUGUCAGCUGACCCACACCUGGCCUCCAGCCUGAGUCCCAGCCAGGACGAGAGGAUGCGGAGCCCUCAGAACCUCCACAGCCAAGAGGACGAUGACUCCUCCUCUGAGAGUGGCAGCGGCAAUGGCUCCUCCACCCUGAACCCAUCCACGUCCAGCAGCACGCAGGGCGACCCCGCCUUCCCCGAGAUGAAUGGCAACGGCGCCGUGGCCCCCAUGGACUUCACCGCCACCUCCGAAGAUCAGCCCAUCAACCUGUGUGACAAGCUCCCGCCGGGCGCAGCACUCGGCACACCAUCCUACCCCUCGGACGGCUGUGGCACCGAUGGACUGCGGAGCCGCGUCAAGUACGGGGUGAAGACCACCCCUGAGUCGCCCCCUUACAGCUCCGGGAGCUACGAUUCCAUCAAGACUGAGGUCAGUGGCUGCCCUGAGGACCUGACGGUGGGCCGGGCCCCCACGGCGGACGACGACGACGACGACCACGAUGACCACGAGGACAACGAUAAGAUGAACGACUCUGAGGGCAUGGACCCUGAGCGCCUCAAGGCCUUCAAUAUGUUUGUGCGUCUCUUUGUGGACGAGAACCUGGACCGCAUGGUGCCCAUCUCCAAGCAGCCCAAGGAGAAGAUCCAGGCCAUCAUCGAGUCCUGCAGCCGGCAGUUUCCCGAGUUCCAGGAGCGGGCCCGCAAGCGUAUCCGCACAUACCUCAAGUCCUGCCGGCGCAUGAAGAAGAACGGCAUGGAGAUGACGAGACCCACACCUCCCCACCUGACCUCGGCCAUGGCAGAAAACAUCCUGGCGGCAGCCUGCGAGAGCGAGACGAGAAAAGCAGCCAAAAGGAUGCGCCUGGAGAUCUACCAGUCCUCCCAGGAUGAGCCCAUUGCCCUGGACAAGCAGCACUCCCGGGACUCUGCAGCCAUCACCCACUCCACCUACUCACUGCCAGCCUCCUCCUACUCCCAGGACCCCGUGUAUGUCAACGGCGGCCUCAACUACAGUUACCGCGGUUACGGGGCCUUGGGCAGCAACCUGCAGCCCCCUGCCUCCCUCCAAACAGGAAAUCACAGUAACGGGCCCACCGACCUCAGCAUGAAAGGCGGGGCCGCCACCGCCUCCAGCACGCCCACACCCACGCCCUCCAGCAACAGCACCAGCAGGACCAUGCCCACCGCCCAGCUCAGCCCCACGGAGAUCAGCGCUGUGCGGCAGCUCAUCGCCGGCUACCGAGAGUCCGCGGCCUUCCUGCUGCGCUCCGCGGACGAACUGGAAAACCUCAUUUUACAGCAGAACUGACCCGCAGCACCUGAAGCGCACUACCCUAGGGAAGGAGGCCGGCCCGGCCCGGCCUCCUGCCUCACCACUUGGUACAUUUUGGUUUUUGAAAGAGGUGGGAUCCAAAAGAGCGGUUUCUAGCCACACGCCAAGCACCUGCGACUUUGGGCACAAGGACACUUUUUUUUGGAAUCUCACCACACGGGUGCUCUGACCUGCUUGGAAGAGGCCAUGGGGCAGCUUUGGAAGGGCUGGGGCUCCCCUGACGAGGCGCUGGGGACGCAGCUCUAUUUAGAAUCAUCUUCGUGGACCCUGAUGUUAGAAUCCCACCCCCAGAUAAUUACCUUUCAAGUCUUAGAUUGCCAGUCUGUGUCUGUCUGAUCAGAAGGAUGUAUCCCUGUGACCUAACAUUCCAUAUCACUACACUGGCGCGGGCUGGGGGACGGCAGGGCGGGGUGAGGUGGGGCAGGUGCCGGGCUGGCUGUCCCCUUGAGCACCCGGCACAGCCAAGCCGCACAGCCAAGCCGGAGGACCUCGCCCACACCCAAUGCGAAGCAAAGGCAAAAAUGGAUCCCCCACCCCCACCCCACAGAAGCCCCCGUCACACGGUCACCUGUGUUCUACCUCACACUCCAGCGUGGGCUUUUUCCAGGAUGUGCCCUGAGCCUGUUCUGAAUGGCUAUCUAUCGCCCAACCCCCCCACACCAUGUGUCUGCCUGGGAGGUAAGUCCAGAGGGGUGGCCAGGAGCUAGAGCCCAGAGAGGGCUUGGACCCUCAUGAGCAGCAGCUCGCGGGCACCUGCCCCCAGGGAGCCAGGUCUGAACACUUCUCCACACAGGCCCAGAGCCCUCAGACACCUGCCAGGAAGGGCCUGUUUCUUCAGGGUGAGCCCUCAGCUGUCAGGUAGCCACCAAACAGGAAAAAGCAGCUGCGAGCCCCUGGUUGGACUUGGCAGCUCCCAUCCUCCGUCCCCGUGGUUGGAGUAAAGGAACCAUCAGAAGUGGAGAAGCCACUUGGGUUCACCUAGGACGCACCCUUCUCGUCAAGGGGCCAGUCCUAGAAGAAACCUGUAAUCCCUGGAGUGUGAAAAAGGACAAAAAGAAAAGGCUGGCCCGGUUCCCUUCCUCCCCGAUAGGCACUUCUUCUUGCUCAGUGCAAUACCUACCAGUGCUGCUAAAACCAGGGAUUCACCCAGACCUCAGAAGGCCCAAGGGGCCUCUCCAUGCAACACUCCGUAGCCAUGACAGCAGCUCUCCGCUGCUUGCCCCUGCCCAGAGCCGGCAGAAGCCCUCUGUUGCCUUUCCUCCCUCAGAGCAGAGAGGCCCCAGGGGAGCCAGGGCUGCGUGGACCCUAGGACGGCCACAGAGAGCCACUCGACCCCAGAGCAGGCGCCCCUUCCCAAACCAGCUUUCUGCAGCCAACCGCCUCCCGGCACCAGCGGCAGACCACCCUCAGGAGCGCCAGGGAGGGGCUCCAGCGUGGAGGCCCCAACCCGCCUCGGAUCCAGGCCCGAGCUGCGGGCCCUGGAUCCAGAACCCUGAAAGGUAGGGUGCCCUGCGCCCCGCCCCUUGCUUACUUCCAGCCCCCAGCAGUUCAGGGUGGUCUUUUCUCUCUCAAGUGGCCUCCAACGCCCUACCCAGCCACAGCACCUCUGCCUUCCAUCGGACCCAUCCCCCGGCCUCCAGUCAGGGCCAGGACACCCGAGACUCCACUUAGCACAGCACAAGCUCCAGUGCCCGAGGCCUGUCCCCCAACCCGGCCACCCACAUGUCCAGCCCCACCUGCUCAGUGCGACUCCCGGUUCAAUUUGUGUAAAUAUUUAUUUUUGUGAGUGAACAAUACUACAAAGUAAUCAGCAGGUCUUUUGCAAAACGUUCCCCCAGGCAAUUUGCGAAAAUCCUAAAAUUGAAAACUGGCAGAGACAAUCGCCGCCUUAGAAUUCUUGAUACCAACUGCGUGUCAUUUCCCCUCCCGGAGGCAGGACCCAAGCCAGGCACCGCGCGCUUCUCUCACAGACAGGAGAGAGGCAGGCUGGGAGGGGCUGCGGCCGCCACCCACACGCAAGGGAUUAGAGCUAAAGAUCAGCAUAAGCUCCAGUUGGAAGUCGGCUCUCCUCAGCCGGCCACCUCGGCCUGCCUUAGCACUGGGCAAGAGCGCAGGCACGCUCGUGUGAGAGGAAGGCCCCGGGUGCUCGUGGUGAAGGCCCGCCGGGGCUCCCCGCGGCCCCUCCGGGACAGUGGAUUCUGUCGCGGUGACCCCACCGCUUGGGUGGGCCCCUCCGUGAAGCUAUGCCUGAAGCCCUGGUCAUGGCAAAAUCAGGAGCAAGUCACUGUGUGGAAACAGGACUCCAUUAGCUAGUUCAGUCAGGGACCUUGUUCUGUUUUGCGUUUGUUUUUCAAAGAUGCAGCUUCAACCCCUCCCCACUCCCGACUUGGAGGGCACCAAAGAGCUGGUUCGGCUGGACCUAGCUCACUGCCGUCCCACCCGCACCCGCACCCUCACCCUCACCCCAGGGACUGCCUUCUCCUAAAGGGAGCUUCCAAGGCCCUGCCCCGCAGCCAUUUGAAAUUCUGACGGAGGGCCUCGGGGGCGCAGAUUCAUCAUGGGGGAAUCCUAAGCCAGAAGGUAACUCAAGAGUUAGAAUACACCAAUUCCUGAGUCUUUGCAGGGGGCUAAUCCCAGCAGAAGAGUAGAAUCAGGAGAAAUGGGAAUUUGGUCUUAGUGGUGGAUAACUAGACGACCAGUAAUGGUGUGACCCAUCUGAAAUUCAUUUUACCAUCAACUCCAGGACAGUUUAUACCCAAGGGCAGUGUUGAGGGGGAGGGGGACCGAAGGGGGCGAGCAGGGUUUUCAAGGAUUUCAAACAGGUGGAACCCGGCCAUCCCUAUUCCCAAGGGCCACUUACGACUCCAGGGGUGGUUACAGGAUUAACUACCAGUUCAUUUUCAAAAUGCUGCUUUGAACUCAGAGGGUUGAUACUUUUAAUUUGUAAUUUUUUGUAAAACUUUUUACAAGAUAGUAAAGUAUUUCACCAGAAUACCAGUUUCAAUCCGUCCAUGGUCUGAUUUUUAUAUAAUUUAGUGGUGCUUUAGAAACUUUGUUUUUGUUGUUUCUGAGCUAAACAGCUCAAUCCUUUUUCGCCUGUAUCUACCUAAGACCAAUGUGAACCUUUGUAUUUUUGCUCCUAAUUUUGGACUCAGUGAAAGUGUACUGUUUACAUGUACAGAUGCCCCCGUCCCUGUGUGUUCCGCAAGACUCGCUCUUGAGGAGGAAGGGGCACCUCACUAAGCUCAUCUGCUUAGCAAAGCCACAAAACAAAAACCUCUCACUUUUUACCUGUGUUUCCACCUAAAAACAAAAGCAAAAACCCUACGCCACAUAGAACUCAGAUUUGCUGAAAAAUACUUUUCUAAGCUCAGAAAAAUCUCCGUGCGUCAGAUGGCCCACAGGCCUCUGUCACGUGGUCCAUUGAGGAGCAGGGGUCAGAGCAGACACUUCCCAGGGGCUGCCGGCGGGGCACCUGCGUGGCCUCUCGGGGAGAGCGCGAGCAGGACUUGACUGCAGGGCUGUGGGCUGGUGUAGUUCUUCCAGCAGCCCGGGAAGCGGGGAGGUCAAGAUGACCCUUGUGACCUUCAGGGUCAAGCCGCCCAGGAUUCAGGGACGACCCAAGAGGCUGUCAAUCCUCUGGCAUAAUUUAGACAUGUUUCAGAAGAGCGCAAGUUCCCCAUCCGAGAUGAGGUUUUAGGACUUGCCAGUGCAGAUGGUACAAACAUUUCUUCAGGGUUCCCCUAGAGGCAGCUUGUUCGCGAGGCAUCACCCUCUGAGGAGGGGCAGGGGGCUCCAGACGGUAAGCAUAUGGCACUUGAGACAAACAGCGGGCGGCACCAACUUUUAAAGGUGACUCUUUAUUACUUAAUCAAUGGCUACACCUCUAAAUUAUAUUUUUACAGAUAUGCACCUAUGCAACUUAACGUGGCUCUUCUAAGCAGGUGAGGACUUCCUCCUCAACGCUCUAUAAAAAUUAUUUGUGUUCUAUAUAGUGAGUUUUUUCCAGUAAAUGUGGCUUAAUAUUUUAAUUCUUAGACUGUGUCUUCUUUAUGUGAUGCAACUAAAUUCUGUUUUGUUUGUGGAAUGACUAGCACAGGCCAAGUCCCUCUCCCUCACUUAACAAAAGACCAAUGAGCUGUUAAUCGAGCUGUUAUCUCCAUGGUAUUACUUGCUAAAUGCACUGAUUUCAUAAGUAUGUGGAAUCCCUUUUCUUUUGAAUCUGUAUAUCAUAUAUAAGACUGAAUCUACUUAAUAAACACUGAAUAACAAAUCA
Molecule: RNA transcript, 6453 nt
Organism: Acinonyx jubatus (cheetah)
Lineage: Eukaryota; Metazoa; Chordata; Mammalia; Carnivora; Felidae
Gene: NOL4L
Gene name: nucleolar protein 4 like
Exons: 12
Source: RefSeq, a predicted model, not a curated record